AACGAACGCUGGCGGCAGGCCUAACACAUGCAAGUCGAACGCCCCGCAAGGGGAGUGGCAGACGGGUGAGUAACGCGUGGGAACCUACCUUUCGGUGCGGAAUAACUCCGGGAAACCGGAGCUAAUACCGCAUACGCCCUUCGGGGGAAAGAUUUAUCGCCGAUAGAUGGGCCCGCGUCGGAUUAGCUUGUUGGUGAGGUAACGGCUCACCAAGGCGACGAUCCGUAGCUGGUCUGAUAGGAUGAUCAGCCACACUGGGACUGAGACACGGCCCAGACUCCUACGGGAGGCAGCAGUGGGGAAUAUUGGACAAUGGGCGCAAGCCUGAUCCAGCCAUGCCGCGUGAGUGAAGAAGGCCUUAGGGUUGUAAAGCUCUUUUAGUGGGGACGAUAAUGACGGUACCCACAGAAUAAGCCCCGGCUAACUUCGUGCCAGCCGCCGCCGUAA
Molecule: ribosomal RNA, 447 nt
Filed under: uncultured bacterium
Lineage: Bacteria
Description: partial 16S ribosomal RNA
Rfam family: Bacterial small subunit ribosomal RNA
Source: RNAcentral